AUUGAACGCUGGCGGCAUGCUUUACACAUGCAAGUCGAACGGUAACAGCACUUCGGUGGCUGACGAGUGGCGAACGGGUGAGUAAUACAUCGGAACGUGCCUAGUAGUGGGGGAUAACUACUCGAAAGAGUAGCUAAUACCGCAUGAGAUCUAAGGAUGAAAGCAGGGGACCUUCGGGCCUUGCGCUACUAGAGCGGCUGAUGGCAGAUUAUGUAGUUGGUGGGAUAAAAGCUUACCAAGCCGACGAUCUGUAGCUGGUCUGAGAGGACGACCAGCCACACUGGGACUGAGACACGGCCCAGACUCCUACGGGAGGCAGCAGUGGGGAAUUUUGGACAAUGGGCGCAAGCCUGAUCCAGCAAUGCAGCGUGCAGGAUGAAGGCCUUCGGGUGUAAACUGCUUUUGUACGGAACGAAAAGCCCUCUUCUAAUACAGGAGGGUCAUGACGGUACCGUAAGAAUAAGCACCGGCUAACUACGUG
Molecule: ribosomal RNA, 481 nt
Filed under: uncultured bacterium
Lineage: Bacteria
Description: partial 16S ribosomal RNA
Rfam family: Bacterial small subunit ribosomal RNA
Source: RNAcentral